RNAcentral lists this ribosomal RNA (250 nucleotides) under uncultured bacterium. Its description in RNAcentral is "partial 16S ribosomal RNA". It matches the Rfam family "Bacterial small subunit ribosomal RNA", at positions 524 to 773 of the family's 1533-position model. The record is from RNAcentral.
GACGUAGGGGGCGAGCGUUGUCCGGAAUUACUGGGCGUAAAGAGCACGUAGGCGGAUAAUUAAGUCUGAUGUGAAAGACCGGGGCUCAACCCCGGGGUGGCAUUAGAAACUGGUAAUCUUGAGGGCAGGAGAGGACAGUAGAAUUCCUGGUGUAGCGGUGAAAUGCGUAGAAAUCAGGAGGAAUACCGGUGGCGAAGGCGACUGUCUGGACUGACCCUGACGCUGAGGUGCGAAAGCGUGGGUAGCAAAC